RNAcentral lists this transfer RNA (78 nucleotides) under Planctomycetota bacterium. RNAcentral describes it as "tRNA-Pro". It matches the Rfam family "tRNA". Rfam says of the family: Transfer RNA (tRNA) molecules are approximately 80 nucleotides in length. Lineage: Bacteria; Pseudomonadati; Planctomycetota. The record is from RNAcentral.
CGGGGCGUAGCUCAGCCUGGUUGGAGCGCCUGGUUUGGGACCAGGAGGCCGGUGGUUCGAAUCCACUCGCCCCGACCA